Megalobrama amblycephala (Wuchang bream) is the source of this 1545-nucleotide long non-coding RNA. RefSeq lists it as uncharacterized. The transcript has 2 exons. The record is from RefSeq and is a predicted model, not a curated record. Lineage: Eukaryota; Metazoa; Chordata; Actinopteri; Cypriniformes; Xenocyprididae.
UCUUACGGGUGUAGAACGGCAUGAGGGUGAGUAAUAAAUGACAUUAUUUUCUUUUUUGGGUGAACUAACCCUUUAACUAUAAGUGCCUUACGAAGUGCACUUCACAGGGUAUUUCUUCUUAAAUCCGAAGGGAGCGAACAUGUUCUUUGUUUGACUGGAUAUUCCUGCAUUUUGUCAAGUGAAGUGAACUUCAACAGAUAUCCGUGCUCGGGGAGUAGGAAGUAGUGAACACUGCAUAGAGACCCUGUCAAUCAGAAUGCAACUAAUAUGUAUAUGUUCAGUUAGCAUCAUAAUUUCAUUGUUAUUGUAGCCCAAUUGAGUAACUUCGUUUAGUUACGUUAGUGACUUUGUUUGGUGAAGAUUUUCAGUAGUUCAACAGCUAAUGUAUUUGUCAACUUCAUUGUUUUUAUUAAAUGUUAAAUUAUAUUGUACACAUUUAAGAAGAUAUGUUCCCCAUAGCUAGUUUGCUAGCUAGCUAGCUAGCUAGCUAAUGUUUGUCUGCGUUUCACUCAAAUAGCUUCACUAUAAUUAUUUACAAUCAUGAUUAGCUUGUAGCUUGACAAGCUACAAAUUCAUAUUAGCAUCCAGCACUGUUGUUGACAUACAUAUUGUACUAACCCACUAGAAAAAUCUUUGAACUGGGGGACUCUUGUUAGUGACAUUUCUUAUAGACAGUAACGCUUUCACUAACACUUUUGCCUGCAAUGAUCUUUUGUGGAAGUGGUUGUCACAUUUGGUCAGAUGCUGUUGCGCACGAGACCACGCUGGCAGCCCGCCUGGAUGAUGGGAUGACAGUGUUUCGUACGCAAACCUUUAUCCAACAAGCUGGCAAGAGUACGUCAGGCUGGCGUGGGAUGUAUGCUGUCUGUAUCAGAUCUGUCUCGCCGCUGCGAUCUCACAGUCAGAUUAACUGGAAGGAUGUUUAUGUCUGUUUAUAUGGUUAGGCUCUUUAGCUUUUGUGGUUGAAUUUGACAUGAGAUGUGAGGUGAAUCUGAGCUACUGCUAAGUAUGCUAAGUUGAAUCACUACUGUUUAUAAAUCGCCCUUGCUCAAAUAACUUCUUGAACAUUUUUUCAAAGCUACAUGUACAAAUUGGGAGUACAUGUACGUUAAUUUAACAUAGCUAAAAACAGGCAGGGGAUUAUGUUGCCCUUUUGGGAGUUAGUAUUAUGCUAGUUAUAUUAUACUCUGCAAACAUUAACAUGGUAACAUGUCCGCCUACAUUUUACAUUUUAUGUGGUAAAAAAAGCUAUAUUUAGCAUGUUACUCUGUGCUAUUGCUAAGCUAGUAGUUAACUGCAAGAGUUGGUUCCACAUGCCUAAACUUUAUUGGUUUCAUGUUGAGAAUGUUAUUGCUUAAUGUUCUGUUAUCUUGCCAUUUUGGGAGAUAACAUUAUGCUAGUUAGAUUAUACUGUAUAUUGUUACAUAAUAUGUUGUAAAAACUGUUAUAUUUGGCAUGCUAAUAUACGCUAAUGCUAUCUAAGCUAAUAGUUAACUGCAGGUGAUUCAUUUGAGCUUUUUUUAAAUGAUUAAACUGUAAAAGAUU